UGAAUAAAACCCAAAGGCGAAAUGAAAGUAAAAAGUUGAGUAUAUGAUAAAAAGAUUUAUCUUUUUUUUCAUUACUCUCUUAAGGGAAGAUAAAAAUUUAAUUAAUAAUAUAUUUUAUAUAUUAUUAAUAUAAAUUUUUAGCACUCCCAGGGCGCUUGUUUCACGCUUUGCGUGUCAAUGCGCACCUAGAGCGUACACGCUGAUACCCGAAAGAUGGUGAACUAUGCCUGGCCAGGACGAAGCCAGGGGAAACCCUGGUGGAGGUCCGCAGCGAUUCUGACGUGCAAAUCGAUCGUCGGAGCUGGGUAUAGGGGCGAAAGACCAAUCGAACCAUCUAGUAGCUGGUUCCCUCUGAAGUUUCCCUCAGGAUAGCUUGCGCUCGGUUGAGAAGAGUCUCAUCCGGUAGAGCGAAUGAUUAGAGGCAUUGGGGUCGAAACGACCUCAACCUAUUCUCAAACUCCAAAUAGAUGAGACCCCCGGCUUUCUUAAAAUUGAAGCCGUGGGAAUAGGAUCAGAGUGCCAAGUGGGCCAAUUUUGGUAAGCAGAACUGGCGCUGUGGGAUGAACCAAACGCAGAGUUAAGGCGCCCAAAUUGACGCUCAUGUGAAACCAUGAAAGGCGUUGGUUGCUUAAGACAGCAGGACGGUGGCCAUGGAAGUUGGAAUCCGUAAGGGU
This 674-nucleotide ribosomal RNA is filed under the name Sycanus bifidus. RNAcentral describes it as "eukaryotic LSU rRNA". It matches the Rfam family "Eukaryotic large subunit ribosomal RNA", at positions 699 to 1279 of the family's 3401-position model. Lineage: Eukaryota; Metazoa; Arthropoda; Insecta; Hemiptera; Reduviidae. The record is from RNAcentral.